This 433-nucleotide ribosomal RNA is filed under the name uncultured bacterium. RNAcentral's name for it is "partial 16S ribosomal RNA". It matches the Rfam family "Bacterial small subunit ribosomal RNA", at positions 29 to 507 of the family's 1533-position model. The record is from RNAcentral.
AACGAACGCUGGCGGCAUGCUUAACACAUGCAAGUCGAACGAUACCUUCCGGUCUAGUGGCGCACGGGUGCGUAACGCGUGGUAACCCGUCCUUAGGCUGGGAACAACUCUCCGAUAGGGCUGCUAAAAUCGGACUAUUUCUUCGGAUCAAAGGUUUAUCGCUUUUGGCUGGGGGCGCGUUGGAUUAGCUAGUUGGUAGGGUAAAGGCCUGCCAAGGCGACGAUCCAUAGCUGGCCUGGGAGGAUGAUCAGCCGGACUGGGACUGAGACACGGCCCAGACUGCUACGGGAAGCAGCGGAGGGGGAUAUAGGAGGAUGAGCGAGAGCCUGAUCCAGCAAUGCCGCGUGGGUGGUGAAGGCGUUAGGAUUCUAAUGCUCUUUUGCCCGAGAUGAUAGUGACGGUACCGGGAGAAGAAGCACCGGCUAACUCCGUG